CUCAUCUAGGCCUCUCAGUAUCCUUAGAAGGGAGGAGCCUUUAUUAUUGCAACCAUCGCCUCUGUCUCACCAACAAGAGAAGAAAAACCCAGAGAGGUUGCCUGUGGUCAUGCAGCUGGCCGGAAGCGGACCCUGGGCGUGAACGCCACUCUCUGGCUGCUGGGCUUACGUUCCUGUGUUCUCUGCUCUUCCUCUCCGUCUUACAUGUAGGAGACCCAGCCACCGUCCCCAGGAAACAGGAGAAGCACCCGCGGCUGCAAUACAAGGGCACGUCAGUGUUGGAGAGCAGGACUUAAAGCCACCUGUGCAGCAAGGUAUGACCAACUGAGACCACCAACGCCAUCUACCACAGCGGCCCAAGCGCAUUGCACUUCUGCCGUUUUCCAGCGUUCUGCACUUGCCCUUACAAAGAGUGGAAGACUCGAACAAACAGGGGAUCCUGUUGUCUUUUCCUAAGUCUGGGCGGCAGGGUCAGCCCUCUCGAGAAGCAUGAGGCUUGAUCUGGUGGCAUCAGAACGCAAAGCUGAGUUCUAUGGGUUUUGGUGUAAGACACGGAAGGACUAGACUUUCCGAGGACCGAGGCUGUCCCAUGGUAGAAGAGGCUUCUUAGAGAGAGCGCAUGAGCUCCCCGUCACUGGGAAUGUGUACGCGCCGAUGAGAUGCUGACUGGAUGGCUGCAAAAGGGAUCUGCUUGCAAUGAGACUGGAUGCCGACCAGGUAAGCCCCAAGCUUCCUUCCCUGAGCUCCACAAAUCCAAAAGCUUCUGAAAGAGUGGUCCAGUUGCUACAGACCCAUGGCUGAGGAAGGCUCCUAGCCAACCCCUACCACCUCGCCUGGUCCGGCCGGGGCAUAGCAGGUCCCAAUUCCAAGUCCAGGGCAGAGCUGCCUUCUAGCAGUGGGCACAAGAUAGUGAGGGGCUCCAGAAUCUCCCCUCCAGCCCCGCUGGAAAGAAGAGGGGAGAAUACUCAGGUGGAACACCCCGGUCAAGGCCGGAGAGGCCGCCUGGCAACAUAAAGAAUGUGGACCCUGAGCCAGACACACACCCGGUGGGAACUGACCCAGGGUCGGCGCCAGCUCCCUGCCAGCCUCCUGCCCUCGCUGUAAAGGGGAUAACCCUGCCGUGCUGGAGGGUUGCGAGGGUGAACCGAGAUCAUGGAACUGGAACUUCCAUGAGAUGAAACAGAGACCCAGCAAUUGCUUUUUCCUUUUCUUUCUGAGUCACAGCAGAGAAAAACAAGAGCUGACAUAAAAUCCAUCCAC
This 1260-nucleotide long non-coding RNA is filed under the name Felis catus (domestic cat). RNAcentral describes it as "lncRNA (ENSFCAG00000050467.1)". The record is from RNAcentral. Lineage: Eukaryota; Metazoa; Chordata; Mammalia; Carnivora; Felidae.